Molecule: ribosomal RNA, 422 nt
Filed under: uncultured bacterium
Lineage: Bacteria
Description: bacterial SSU rRNA
Rfam family: Bacterial small subunit ribosomal RNA
Source: RNAcentral
UGAGGAAUAUUGGGCAAUGCCCGCAAGGGUGACCCAGCAACGCCGCGUGGAGGAUGAAUGUCGUAAGAUUGUAUACUCCUGUUAGAGGGGAAGAAUAGUACCGGUUGGACCGGUAUAUGACUGUACCCUCAGAGAAAGCCCCGGCUAACUACGUGCCAGCAGCCGCGGUAAUACGUAGGGGGCAAGCGUUGUCCGGAUUUACUGGGUGUAAAGGGCGCGCAGGCGGGAUAAAAAGUCAGUGGUGAAAUCCUACAGCUUAACUGUAGAACUGCCUUUGAUACUUUUAUUCUUGAGUUCGGGAGAGAGAGACGGAAUUCCAGGUGUAGUGGUGAAAUACGUAGAUAUCUGGAAGAACACCAGUUGCGAAGGCGGUCUCUUGAUCCGACACUGACGCUGAGGCGCGAAAGCGUGGGGAGCAAACA